GCCUUCGUGGUGUAGUGGUCAGCACGCUCGGCGCGUAUUCGAGAGGUCCGUGGUUCGAGUCCCGGUGAGAGCU
This 73-nucleotide transfer RNA is filed under the name Stegodyphus mimosarum. It matches the Rfam family "tRNA". From Rfam's summary of the family: Transfer RNA (tRNA) molecules are approximately 80 nucleotides in length. Their secondary structure includes four short double-helical elements and three loops (D, anti-codon, and T loops). Further hydrogen bonds mediate the characteristic L-shaped molecular structure. tRNAs have two regions of fundamental functional importance: the anti-codon, which is responsible for specific mRNA codon recognition, and the 3' end, to which the tRNAs corresponding amino acid is attached (by aminoacyl-tRNA synthetases). tRNAs cope with the degeneracy of the genetic code in two manners: having more than one tRNA (with a specific anti-codon) for a particular amino acid; and 'wobble' base-pairing, i.e. permitting non-standard base-pairing at the 3rd anti-codon position. Lineage: Eukaryota; Metazoa; Arthropoda; Arachnida; Araneae; Eresidae. The record is from Rfam by way of RNAcentral.